GACGAACGCUGGCGGCGUGCUUAACACAUGCAAGUCGAACGGAAAGGCCCUGCUUUUGUGGGGUGCUCGAGUGGCGAACGGGUGAGUAACACGUGAGUAACCUGCCCUUGACUUUGGGAUAACUUCAGGAAACUGGGGCUAAUACCGGAUAGGAGCUCCUGCUGCAUGGUGGGGGUUGGAAAGUUUCGGCGGUUGGGGAUGGACUCGCGGCUUAUCAGCUUGUUGGUGGGGUAGUGGCUUACCAAGGCUUUGACGGGUAGCCGGCCUGAGAGGGUAACCGGCCACAUUGGGACUGAGAUACGGCCCAGACUCGUACGGGAGGCAGCAGUGGGGAAUAUUGCACAAUGGGCGGAAGCCUGAUGCAGCAACGCCGCGUGCGGGAUGACGGCCUUCGGGUUGUAAACCGCUUUCGCCUGUGACGAAGCGUGAGUGACGGUAAUGGGUAAAGAAGCACCGGCUAACUACGUG
RNAcentral lists this ribosomal RNA (468 nucleotides) under uncultured bacterium. RNAcentral describes it as "partial 16S ribosomal RNA". It matches the Rfam family "Bacterial small subunit ribosomal RNA", at positions 28 to 507 of the family's 1533-position model. The record is from RNAcentral.